RNAcentral lists this ribosomal RNA (498 nucleotides) under uncultured bacterium. Its description in RNAcentral is "partial 16S ribosomal RNA". It matches the Rfam family "Bacterial small subunit ribosomal RNA", at positions 28 to 507 of the family's 1533-position model. The record is from RNAcentral.
GACGAACGCUGGCGGCGUGCCUAAUACAUGCAAGUCGAGCGGACGGAUGGGAGCUUGCUCCCAGACCGUCAGCGGCGGCCGGGUGAGUAACACGUGGGCAACCUGCCUGUAAGGCUGGGAUAACUCCGGGAAACCGGGGCUAAUGCCGGAUAACUCUUACUCUCCCAUGAGGGAAAGCUGAAAUAUGGCAUCUCGCUAUCACUUACAGAUGUGCCCGCGGCGCAUUAGCUAGUUGGUGAGGGAACGGCUCACCAAGGCGACGAUGCGUAGCCGACCUGAGAGGGGGAUCGGCGACACUGGGACUGGGACACGGCCCAGACUCCUACGGGAGGCAGCAGUAGGGAAUUUUCGGCAAUGGACGAAAGUAUGACGGAGCAACGCCGCGUGAGUGAUGAAGGUAUUCGGGUCGUAAAACACUGUUGUCAGGGAAGAACAAGUACCGGAGUAACUGCCGGUGCCUUGACGGUACCUGAGCAGAAAGCCACGGCUAACUACGUG